This 784-nucleotide long non-coding RNA is filed under the name Pan troglodytes (chimpanzee). RNAcentral describes it as "lincRNA". Lineage: Eukaryota; Metazoa; Chordata; Mammalia; Primates; Hominidae. The record is from RNAcentral.
AUGACUGUUGUAGAAAAAAGAAAAGCCUGUAGGUCUCCCUUCCUCCCUCCUUCUCUCUGUCUACCUCAGCAUUUCUGGGGUUCACUCUGCUCUGGGUACUGUGUAAAGGACUCCACAGCCAUCAACUUCCCUUCAUCCUUGCCGCGUCUUUGAAAGAGCUGAGAUUUCUUUACAUCACAGUGGUUCAAGGAGAAAAACACAGCCAGAUCCUUCCUCAUCUCAACAUAAUUAAACCCAGAGGCAGUCAGCGCCACAGUCCACACUCGUAACCGUUACACUCACCUGGAAAUAAAAGUAUUUUUGUGUGGGGACUGCAAGGACUAAGCCCGGCCGCACUCCGAGUCUCUCCUCCUCACAGUUAAUUGUUUUCUUGGCACUCUCUCCCUUCUCACCUGUGACUACCUGAGUGUCCCCAGAGGCAAGGAACUAUGUGAGCCACUCCAGUGUUCCCAGCCCCAAGGCCAGGCACAGUGGACAUUUAUUGCUGAAUGAAUGAAUCAAGAGAGAGGAUCAGAAAGCUGCAGAGGAUGAUAGAUCUGCAAAAUUCUCCCUGGGUGAGGCCCAGGCUCAGGUUCCAGAACAGCUCCAUCUGUCUCCCACUCACUGAGAUUGAACUAAUGUCCCACAGUUGGACAGACCUGAAACUGAGCUAUGUGAUCUUGGAUACCUGCCCCUCUGCUGGAGAUUCUGCAUGUCUGAGGUACCAGCCAUUGCCAGAAACUGGGCUAUGUUCUCUCCUUUCAUCGUGCCAUUUCAUUCUCACCCCAAAAUGAAAACACACAAA